Molecule: unclassified non-coding RNA, 358 nt
Filed under: soil metagenome
Description: partial contains 5.8S ribosomal RNA, internal transcribed spacer 2, and large subunit ribosomal RNA
Rfam family: 5.8S ribosomal RNA (bases 1-120)
Source: RNAcentral
GAUGAAGAACGUAGCGAAAUGCGAUAAGUAAUGUGAAUUGCAGAAUUCAGUGAAUCAUCGAAUCUUUGAACGCACAUUGCGCCCGUCAGUAUUCUGGCGGGCAUGCCUGUUCGAGCGUCAUUACGCCCCUCAAGUCCCCUGUGGACUUGGUGUUGGGGAUCGGCGAUGCUGGUUUUCCAGCACAGCCGUCCCUUAAAUUAAUUGGCGGUCUCGCCGUGGCCCUCCUCUGCGCAGUAGUAAAACACUCGCAACAGGAGCCCGGCGCGGUCCACUGCCGUAAAACCCCCCAACUUUUUAUAGUUGACCUCGAAUCAGGUAGGACUACCCGCUGAACUUAAGCAUAUCAAUAAGCGGAGGA